This 170-nucleotide unclassified non-coding RNA is filed under the name soil metagenome. RNAcentral's name for it is "partial internal transcribed spacer 1". The record is from RNAcentral.
CCUUUCAAUGCAGAAGAGUUGUGAUGGUUGAGUAUCUCGCCUCUCAAUUCUCGCUGUAUUUUACCCUUGUUUUUCUCAUACUAUUAUUUCCUCGGCAGGCUCAGCCUGCCGGGUGAAACAACUUCAAACCUGUUUAAUUUUCAAUCAGCGUCUGAGCAAAUUAAUAAUUA